GAUCCUGGCUCAGGAUGAACGCUAGAUACAGGCUUAACACAUGCAAGUCGAGGGGCAGCAUUUCAGUUUGCUUGCAAACUGGAGAUGGCGACCGGCGCACGGGUGAGUAACACGUAUCCAACCUGCCGAUAACUCGGGGAUAGCCUUUCGAAAGAAAGAUUAAUACCCGAUGGUAUAAUUAGACCGCAUGGUCUUAUUAUUAAAGAAUUUCGGUUAUACGAUGGGGAUGCGUUCCAUUAGGCAGUUGG
This 248-nucleotide ribosomal RNA is filed under the name uncultured bacterium. RNAcentral's name for it is "partial 16S ribosomal RNA". It matches the Rfam family "Bacterial small subunit ribosomal RNA", at positions 15 to 252 of the family's 1533-position model. The record is from RNAcentral.